GAAUUCGAUUCAGGCCUAACACAUGCAAGUCGCACGGUCAGCAAUGGCAGUGGCGGACGGGUGAGUAACACGUAGGAAUCUAUCCCAGGGUGGGGGACAACAGCGGGAAACUGCUGCUAAUACCGCAUGAUACCUGAGGGUCAAAGGCGCAAGUCGCCUUGGGAGGAGCCUGCGUCUGAUUAGCUAGUUGGUGGGGUAAAGGCCUACCAAGGCGACGAUCAGUAGCUGGUCUGAGAGGAUGAUCAGCCACAUUGGGACUGAGACACGGCCCAAACUCCUACGGGAGGCAGCAGUGGGGAAUAUUGGGCAAUGGGGGAAACCCUGAUCCAGCAAUGCCGCGUGUGUGAAGAAGGUCUUCGGAUUGUAAAGCACUUUUGGCAGGGACGAUGAUGACGGUACCUGCAGAAUAAGCCCCGGCUAACUUCGUGCCAGCAGCCGCGGUAAUACGAAGGGGGCUAGCGUUGCUCGGAAUGACUGGGCGUAAAGGGCGCGUAGGCGGCAUGUACAGUCAGAAGUGAAAUUCCUGGGCUCAACCUGGGGACUGCUUUUGAUACGUGCAAGCUAGAGUGAGGAAGAGGGUUGUGGAAUUUCCAGUGUAGAGGUGAAAUUCGUAGAUAUUGGAAAGAACACCGGUGGCGAAGGCGGCAACCUGGUCCUUUACUGACGCUGAGGCGCGAAAGCGUGGGGAGCAAACAGGAUUAGAUACCCUGGUAGUCCACGCUGUAAACGAUGUGUGCUGGAUGUUGGGAAACUUAGUUUUUCAGUGUCGUAGCUAACGCGAUAAGCACACCGCCUGGGGAGUACGGCCGCAAGGUUGAAACUCAAAGGGAUUGACGGGGGCCCGCACAAGCGGUGGGGCAU
Molecule: ribosomal RNA, 861 nt
Filed under: uncultured bacterium
Lineage: Bacteria
Description: bacterial SSU rRNA
Rfam family: Bacterial small subunit ribosomal RNA
Source: RNAcentral